This 450-nucleotide ribosomal RNA is filed under the name uncultured bacterium. Its description in RNAcentral is "partial 16S ribosomal RNA". It matches the Rfam family "Bacterial small subunit ribosomal RNA", at positions 338 to 795 of the family's 1533-position model. The record is from RNAcentral.
GCUACGGGUGGCUGCAGUAAGGAAUAUUGGUCAAUGGACGGAAGUCUGAACCAGCCAUCCCGCGUGCAGGAAGAAGGUCCUAUGGAUUGUAAACUGCUUUUAGCAGAGACGAAACGCCUUCAUUUAUGGGGGUUUGACGGUAUCUGCGGAAUAAGCACCGGCUAACUCCGUGCCAGCAGCCGCGGUAAUACGGAGGGUGCAAGCGUUAUCCGGAAUCACUGGGUUGUAGGGGUGGGAAGGCGGGGGUUUAGAAAGCCUGUAGCUUAACUACAGAAUUGCCAUUGAUACUGAUUGUCUUGAAUUGGGUUGAGGUUAGCGGAAUGUGACAUGUAACGGUGAAAUGUUUAGAUAUGUCAUGGAACACCGAUUGCGAAGGCAGCUAGCUGGGCCUUGAUUGACGCUGAGGCACGAAAGCGUGGGUAGCGAACAGGAUUAGAUACCCGGGUAGUC